CCCUUAGAUGUUCUGGGCCGCACGCGCGCUACACUGUUCGACGCAGCGAGUCUUAACCUUGACCGAAAGGUUUGGGUAAUCUUCAGCAAAGUCGAACGUGAUGGGGAUCGACCAUUGCAAUUAUUGAUCGUGAACGAGGAAUUCCUAGUAAGUGCAAGUCAUCAGCUUGCGCUGAUUACGUCCCUGCCCUUUGUACACACCGCCCGUCGCUACUACCGAUUGAAUGGUUUAGUGAGAUCUCUGGAUUGACGCUGGCUAGGGGGCGACCCUUGGCCAGGCUGUCGAGAAACUGCUCAAACUUGAUCAUUUAGAGGAAGUAAAAGUCGUAACA
This 331-nucleotide ribosomal RNA is filed under the name uncultured eukaryote. Its description in RNAcentral is "partial 18S ribosomal RNA". It matches the Rfam family "Eukaryotic small subunit ribosomal RNA", at positions 1470 to 1796 of the family's 1831-position model. The record is from RNAcentral.